UACAGAGGUCCCAAGCGUUGUUCGGAUUCACUGGGCGUAAAGGGUGCGUAGGCGGUCGGGUAAGUCUGAUGUGAAAUCUCUGAGCUUAACUCAGAAAUGGCAUUGGAUACUAUUCGGCUAGAGAAUCGGAGGGGGGACUGGAAUACUUGGUGUAGCAGUGAAAUGCGUAGAUAUCAAGUGGAACACCAGUGGCGAAGGCGAGUCCCUGGACGAUUUCUGACGCUGAGGCACGAAAGCUAGGGGAGCAAACAGG
RNAcentral lists this ribosomal RNA (253 nucleotides) under uncultured bacterium. Its description in RNAcentral is "partial 16S ribosomal RNA". It matches the Rfam family "Bacterial small subunit ribosomal RNA", at positions 524 to 776 of the family's 1533-position model. The record is from RNAcentral.